Molecule: ribosomal RNA, 598 nt
Filed under: Nostoc ellipsosporum
Lineage: Bacteria; Bacillati; Cyanobacteriota; Cyanophyceae; Nostocales; Nostocaceae
Description: bacterial SSU rRNA
Rfam family: Bacterial small subunit ribosomal RNA
Source: RNAcentral
GGUCGGGGACAACCACUGGAAACGGUGGCUAAUACCGGAUGUGCCGAGAGGUAAAAGGCUUGCUGCCUGAAGAUGAGCUCGCGACUGAUUAGCUAGUUGGUAGUGUAAGGGACUACCAAGGCGACGAUCAGUAGCUGGUCUGAGAGGAUGAUCAGCCACACUGGGACUGAGACACGGCCCAGACUCCUACGGGAGGCAGCAGUGGGGAAUUUUCCGCAAUGGGCGAAAGCCUGACGGAGCAAUACCGCGUGAGGGAGGAAGGCUCUUGGGUUGUAAACCUCUUUUCUCAAGGAAUAAGUUUUGAAGGUACUUGAGGAAUAAGCAUCGGCUAACUCCGUGCCAGCAGCCGCGGUAAUACGGAGGAUGCAAGCGUUAUCCGGAAUGAUUGGGCGUAAAGAGUCCGUAGGUGGUUGUGAAAGUCUGCUGUUAAAGAGCAAGGCUCAACCUUGUAAAGGCAGUGGAAACUACACAGCUAGAGUGCGUUCGGGGCAGAAGGAAUUCCUGGUGUAGCGGUGAAAUGCGUAGAGAUCAGGAAGAACACCGGUGGCGAAAGCGUUCCUGCUAGGCCGCAACUGACACUGAGGGACGAAAGCUGAUU